This 490-nucleotide ribosomal RNA is filed under the name uncultured bacterium. Its description in RNAcentral is "partial 16S ribosomal RNA". It matches the Rfam family "Bacterial small subunit ribosomal RNA", at positions 30 to 507 of the family's 1533-position model. The record is from RNAcentral.
AUUGAACGCUGGCGGCAGGCCUAACACAUGCAAGUCGAACGGUAACAGGAAGAAGCUUGCUUCUUUGCUGACGAGUGGCGGACGGGUGAGUAAUGUCUGGGAAACUGCCUGAUGGAGGGGGAUAACUACUGGAAACGGUAGCUAAUACCGCAUAAUGUCGCAAGACCAAAGAGGGGGACCUUCGGGCCUCUUGCCAUCGGAUGUGCCCAGAUGGUAUUAGCUAGUAGGUGGGGUAACGGUUCACCUAGGCGACGAUCCCUAGCUGGUCUGAGAGGAGGACCGGCCACACGGGAGCGUGAACACGGUCCAGAGUCCUACGGGAGGCAGCAGUGGGGAAUAUUGCACAGUAGGCGCAAGCCUGAUGCAGCUAUGCCGCGUGUAUGAAGAAGGCCUUCGGGUUGUAAAGUACUUUCAGCGGGGAGGAAGGGAGUAAAGUUAAUACCUUUGCUCAUUGACGUUACCCGCAGAAGAAGCACCGGCUAACUCCGUG